This 253-nucleotide ribosomal RNA is filed under the name uncultured bacterium. RNAcentral's name for it is "partial 16S ribosomal RNA". It matches the Rfam family "Bacterial small subunit ribosomal RNA", at positions 524 to 776 of the family's 1533-position model. The record is from RNAcentral.
UACGUAGGACCCAAGCGUUAUCCGGAGUGACUGGGCGUAAAGAGCGUGUAGGCGGCUAGGUAGGUCCGUUGUGAAAACUCGAGGCUCAACCUCGAGCUGUCGAUGGAAACCAUCUGGCUAGAGUCCGGAAGAGGAGAGUGGAAUUCCUGGUGUAGCGGUGAAAUGCGCAGAUAUCAGGAAGAACACCCGUGGCGAAGGCGGCUCUCUGGUACGUGACUGACGCUGAGACGCGAAAGCGUGGGGAGCGAACAGG